AUUGAACGCUGGCGGCAGGCCUAACACAUGCAAGUCGAACGAGUGGCGGACGGGUGAGUAAUGUCUGGGAAACUGCCCGAUGGAGGGGUAUCACUACUGGAAACGGUAGCUAAUACCGCAUACCAUCUGAUGUGCCAAGAUGGGAUUAGGUAGUAGGUGGGGUAACGGCUCACCUAGGCGACGAUCGCUAGCUGGUCUGAGAGGAUGACGAGCCACACUGUCACGGAGACACGGUCCAGCCUCUUAAGGGAGGCAGCAGUGGGGAAAAUUGCACAAGGGGCGCAAGCCUGAUGCAGCCAUGCCGCGUGUAUGAAGAAGGCCAUCGGGUUGUAAAGUACUUUCAGCGAGGAGGCGGUACUCGCAGAAGAAGCACCGGCUAACUCCGUGCCAGCAGCCGCGGUAAUAC
Molecule: ribosomal RNA, 406 nt
Filed under: uncultured bacterium
Lineage: Bacteria
Description: partial 16S ribosomal RNA
Rfam family: Bacterial small subunit ribosomal RNA
Source: RNAcentral